GAUGAACGCUGGCGGCGUGCCUAAUACAUGCAAGUCGAGCGAACAGACGAGGAGCUUGCUCCUCUGACGUUAGCGGCGGACGGGUGAGUAACACGUGGAUAACCUACCUAUAAGACUGGGAUAACUUCGGGAAACCGGAGCUAAUACCGGAUAAUAUAUUGAACCGCAUGGUUCAAUAGUGAAAGACGGUUUUGCUGUCACUUAUAGAUGGAUCCGCGUCGCAUUAGCUAGUUGGUAAGGUAACGGCUUACCAAGGCAACGAUGCGUAGCCGACCUGAGAGGGUGACCGGCCACACUGGAACUGAGACACGGUACAGACUCCUACGGGAGGCAGCAGUAGGGAAUCUUCCGCACUGGGCGAAAGCUUGACGGAGCAACGCCGCGUGAGUGAUGAAGGUCUUCGGAUCGUAAAACUCUGUUAUUAGGGAAGAACAAAUGUGUAAGUAACUAUGCACGUCUUGACGGUACCUAAUCAGAAAGCAACGACUAACUACGUG
Molecule: ribosomal RNA, 497 nt
Filed under: uncultured bacterium
Lineage: Bacteria
Description: partial 16S ribosomal RNA
Rfam family: Bacterial small subunit ribosomal RNA
Source: RNAcentral